UUUUAAAACCAGCAUACGUAAAUGGGGGUUUAUACGUAUGCAUGCAUGUUUUAUGUAAUUAUACGUGUUUCUUUGAGAAAUGUAAUUACACGAUUUUCGAUAAUAAGUUUAUCAAACGUUUUGUAGUUUUUUUUUGUUUUUUUCCUUUGAUAAACAAACGUUUUGUAGUUAAAGGUUAUUUCUAAAAAUAGGUUUUUUUAAAGCUCUCAUCUGAUGUGGUAAAGCCAUGUCUUUGGUCGGGUUUUGGUGGUGAAGCUGAAGGUGUUUAUCUGUACCAGAAGAGUAACUGAAAUAAAGGUGGAGAAGGGAUGGUGCAGUGUUUCCUGCUCAAACUGGGCCAAGAAACUUUAGCGCACAGUAUCAUCUUUCACAUGUCUUCCUUGCAACAAUACCAGUGCAGUUGGUGUCCUCCGGUACGGUGUGGAGAUGUCCGUUGCAGAUGAAACUGGUAAAGCUUUGUUUGUCUGUUUCGAUGAGGUAAUGACCAAACUUCACAACAUGAGGGCCUUUGAAGCUGAUCAUCUUUUGGCUGGUGAUGGUGUCAACCCAGAGGAAACACAGGCCCCGCCGUUUGUGUGAGACAUGGUUGGUAAGACCUACACAUUCCAGGUGAGGGUGAGUUCACUUAAAUUCACAGCGAAUCAUCAGACCUUUACUGUCUCGCGCAUCCUCAGUGAGCGUGACCGUGUGCUGCAGCCUGCAUUUGUUGAUAAUCUAAGGUUUAUAGAAUGGAGGCGACGUUUACAAUGGAGAUGACAACCCCGAUGCCAUCACAGUGCCUUUUAAGGUGGAAACUGGUGGACCUAGCCAGGCGCAGGUAGCAUCGGAGAAGGUGAAGAAACCACGCAAGACAUAGGUGAAGAGGAUUGGAGUACAAGACGCAGUUUUUCCUGUGUUUUUUUAAUGCUGAAGUUGUUUAUGUUGGUUUUUUUUCCUUUUCUGGUGUUUGCUUAAUUAACAAGUUUGAGUUUUACACUUUGCUACUUCUAUAGUUUUGGUUUUUUUAAUACCAAAUAUAAAAUAUAUCUCAUUUAGGAAAUAUUUGGUAUUAUAUGGUUUUUUUUAAUUCAAGUUAGUAUUCUCUAUAUUCUGUCAUGAUUGUAAAUAUGAUCAUGUUUAACGUAGGCAAUCAUCCGCAUAUUUUGAGUCCAAUUUGACAAUGACAACAUAUACUAAACAUGCGAUGGGUCCAUUCAUAUUCGAUAUUUCCCUUCAUUCGCAUUUUAUUCAUCAAAUACUAAAUAUAAAUAUAAUGCUCACACAGUACCUGCGGCUCCAUAAUAGUUAAGAAGCUAAACACAUGACCCGUAUACAUUAUAUUUAUAGUAUACAUAUAUUUAUAGCUUAGCAUUGAACUGGUUUACUUGGUACGCUAUCUCUGAUCCGGUAUGUUCUCAUGUACUGACUUUAUCACUAUCUUCGCCGGAAAAGGAGCCAAUGUGUUCUUGAACAAUUAUAGGCUUCGACGAAGAUAUCGUUCACCAGUGUUUUAAGUGUCAUAUUUUGAAAGACUGGACUCCCUCUUCUCUUAUAGUCUUACAUUUGCUACUUUUAUGAAAACCUUCUUCUUAACGCUUAAACAUUGUUUUAGAUUUAAGGUUUCAUAUAAAGAGUCUGUGACACAUAUUAUAUAUAUUAUAUACUAUGUUUUAAAGAUCAAGAUAUCCACAAAUAUAAUAGAAUUAUAUGCAUACUACAAAGACACCAUAAAGAAAGAGCCAGCAUAAAUUAAAAAACCCCAUGUUUAAUUAAAUAAACUAUUACGUGUACUUGAAAUAUUCUUUCAUGAAUAUUAUAGCAAGAAAGGUAGAAAAAAAUUAUAACUAACAUUCAAUAAGAAUGGUUAAAAAAAACAAAAAAAAAACUAACAUUCAAUAAGAGAAUAUUAACUUUAAGUACAUAUUUAUGUAUAAAUCAAAUUACGCUUUAAUAUAAAAAUAUAUAGUUUAAUUAGUCAAACUUCUCAAUUAUUGUACUGUAAAACUUUCAAUGGUUGAUUAGAAAGAGUAAUUUAACUAUAACUAACAAAUCCCUAUAAGGAAAGUUAUAUAUAUAGUUAGAUAUAUGCAAUGAGCAUAAAAUUUUUAAGUCCCCUAAUGAAAUAUAAAACAAAAAGUAGAAAAAUAAUUAGUAGACCAAUUAAGAUAAUAGUAAUAAAAAACUUUAAAAGUAAAUUAUUAAACCAUAAUAUUAUUAAAUAAGUAAAUAUUAAAUCAGAUAUUUGUCGACGGAAAUGUCAAAGUAUGUUUUGUUUAUUUUCCUAAAAUUGGAAUGUAGGCAAAAAAAUAACCAAAUAUCAAUAAAAUUGUAUUAUGUAUAUUAUUAAACCCCUUAAAUAUAUAUAUAUAUAAUUGGGUUUCCUUCUCUCCUAGAGUGUCCACAUGGGAUGCCAUGUCACAAAUUCGUGCAUCAUCA
Long non-coding RNA from Brassica napus (rape), 2415 nucleotides. RefSeq lists it as uncharacterized. The record is from RefSeq and is a predicted model, not a curated record. The transcript has 4 exons. NCBI's taxonomy places the organism in Eukaryota, Viridiplantae, Streptophyta, Magnoliopsida, Brassicales, Brassicaceae.